RNAcentral lists this microRNA precursor (118 nucleotides) under Gossypium hirsutum (cotton). RNAcentral describes it as "miR7498 stem-loop (ghr-MIR7498)". The record is from miRBase by way of RNAcentral. Lineage: Eukaryota; Viridiplantae; Streptophyta; Magnoliopsida; Malvales; Malvaceae.
GACCAAUAGCAUGGUGACACAUGGUAGUCUCACAUUUUGACACAUGGCACUUUUAAAAAUUUUUAUUAUUUCAAGUUUCAAAAUGUUAGCCUACCACGUGUCACCAUGCUAUUGGUUG